UUUUGACCCCAGUAUUGGCAUAGUUGUGGUGUACAAGGCUAUUAAGUGAAUGAGGUAAUGGUUGGAAGAAGAGGCAUCGCUUGAAAGGAGCCUACUGGUGAUGUAGGAAUGUGGAGACUACCGUUGUGAUGGGACUAGUGGUGGACCGAUGAAUCAAGUCUUAGACGAUGCCGAGCAGGUGGUGGUUGCAGAUGUCGAGGUAAUACCGGACUGAUUGGCAGGACCCCUGGGCUGUGUGGAAGUUGAACAGUGAGACGCUUCAACUUCAUUAUUCGUGAACACUUGGCAAACCGACUACGGAAGGCGCACAAGGUACACCAUUGAUGAACAAGGAAAAGGGAUGGAGGCCGAGGGCAGACUACUGCACCCAUGAGGUCGACACACAUCCCUAGUUACAGCGGGCAGCCGCCGCGUUCGCCCUUCGGGGUUGUCGGUGCUCCGCCGGAACCCCAAAAGUGAUAAGCCUGCAGAUAGCUACGAAAUAAUCCCAUGAAUUGUAAUUAGUGUAAUGAAAUUAAUGCAACUUUCAUUUACUACCUAUAGAUGUAGUUAGUAAUUUAUUUAUACUUUAUAAUUAUUAAUUAUAAUUAUUCCUUAAUACUUUAUUGUUAUGCACUAGUCAGUAAUUAUUUAUUAUUAAUCGUAAUGAGCAAAUAUUUUAAAUGAAUCAAAUAAUUA
Non-coding RNA from Procambarus clarkii (red swamp crayfish), 678 nucleotides. Lineage: Eukaryota; Metazoa; Arthropoda; Malacostraca; Decapoda; Cambaridae. The record is from RefSeq and is a predicted model, not a curated record.